UACGUAGGUGGCAAGCGAUGUCCGGAUUUAUUGGGUUUACAGGGUGCGUAGGCGGUCUUUUAAGUCAGUGCUGAAAUAUCCCGGCUUAACCGGGAGGGUGGCAUUGAUACUGAAGGACUUGAGUACAGUCGAGGUAGGCGGAAUUGACGGUGUAGCGGUGAAAUGCUUAGAUAUCGUCAAGAACACCGAUAGUGUAGACAGCUUACUAGGCUGAAACUGACGCUGAGGCACGAAAGCGUGGGGAUCAAACAGG
RNAcentral lists this ribosomal RNA (253 nucleotides) under uncultured bacterium. RNAcentral's name for it is "partial 16S ribosomal RNA". It matches the Rfam family "Bacterial small subunit ribosomal RNA", at positions 524 to 776 of the family's 1533-position model. The record is from RNAcentral.